GACGAACGCUGGCGGCGUGCUUAACACAUGCAAGUCGAACGGAAAGGCCCUGCUUUUGUGGGGUGCUCGAGUGGCGAACGGGUGAGUAACACGUGAGUAACCUGCCCUUGACUUUGGGAUAACUUCAGGAAACUGGGGCUAAUACCGGAUAGGAGCUCUCGCUGCAUGGUGGGGGUUGGAAAGUUUCGGCGGUUGGGGAUGGACUCGCGGCUUAUCGGCUUGUUGGUGGGGUAGUGGCUUACCAAGGCUUUGACGGGUAGCCGGCCUGCGAGGGUGACCGGCCACGUUGGGACUGAGAUACGGCCCAGACUCCAACGGGAGGCAGCGGUGGGGAAUAUUGCACAAUGGGCGGAAGCCUGAUGCAGCAACGCCGCGUGCGGGAUGACGGCCUUCGGGUUGUAAACCGCUUUCGCCUGUGACGAAGCGUGAGUGACGGUAAUGGGUAAAGAAGCACCGGCUAACUACGUG
Molecule: ribosomal RNA, 468 nt
Filed under: uncultured bacterium
Lineage: Bacteria
Description: partial 16S ribosomal RNA
Rfam family: Bacterial small subunit ribosomal RNA
Source: RNAcentral